Molecule: ribosomal RNA, 465 nt
Filed under: uncultured bacterium
Lineage: Bacteria
Description: partial 16S ribosomal RNA
Rfam family: Bacterial small subunit ribosomal RNA
Source: RNAcentral
GACGAACGCUGGCGGCGUGCUUAACACAUGCAAGUCGAACGGAAAGGCCCCUUUGGGGGUACUCGAGUGGCGAACGGGUGAGUAACACGUGAGUAACCUGCCCUUGACUUCGGGAUAACUUCAGGAAACUGGGGCUAAUACCGGAUAGGAAUCCUUGCUGCAUGGUGGGGGUUGGAAAGCUUCGGCGGUUUUGGAUGGACUCGCGGCUUAUCAGCUUGUUGGUGGGGUAGUGGCUUACCAAGGCUUUGACGGGUAGCCGGCCUGAGAGGGCGACCGGCCACAUUGGGACUGAGACACGGCCCAGACUCCUACGGGAGGCAGCAGUGGGGAAUAUUGCACAAUGGGCGGAAGCCUGAUGCAGCAACGCCGCGGGCGGGAUGACGGCCUUCGGGUUGGAAACCGAUUUCAGCAGGGGCGAAGCUUGUGGUGACGGUACCUGCAGAAGAAGCACCGGCUAACUACGUG